Hemicordylus capensis (graceful crag lizard) is the source of this 3200-nucleotide long non-coding RNA. RefSeq lists it as uncharacterized. The record is from RefSeq and is a predicted model, not a curated record. The transcript has 3 exons. NCBI's taxonomy places the organism in Eukaryota, Metazoa, Chordata, Lepidosauria, Squamata, Cordylidae.
AGCAUUUUACAUGGACAAUUUGACUUUCAUGUGGAGUGUCAUAAUGUACCCUAGAUGGAAAUCUAAAAUAAAUUAUAUGGCAUGCAGCCUUCCUGGUGCAGGAAUUUAUCGUUCCCAUACUACAAUAAUUUUGAAAACUGUAUCCCUUAAGCUACAAAGAUGUAAGAUAUUAUUAACUGCCUGAACUUUAAAAACAUUCUGAUUGGCUGAUAUAAAAUGUAGGGGCUGGGAUUAAUUUCUAUGGAACCACAAGCUUAUCGCAAACUGUUUUUCAACCCUCUAAACUGCGAACUUUAUCUUCUUGCAGGACACAAAGUCCGUUUUACACCAUCAUCCCCGAUGUAUGCUGGCAUUUUGGUAAAGCCGUUCCAGGACGUGUGAAUGUGUCCGGCCCUCUCCUGACAGGCUUGUCUGAGACAAUUGUGCCCCAGAGAGUGAAGGCAGUGUGCACAGUAGUGCCUUGUCUGCCUUUUAUAUGAUUUCCAUCUCCCAACAACUCUCCUGACUCUAGAAAUGCAUCAUUUUAGCCUGGCACAGAUUGAAGAAUGUCUGUUUCAUUGCUUGCUCUUUUCCACUGGUGAAGUUUUUUUUUAAAAAAAAUCAAAUUAUUCGCAGAGACAAGCAGCUCAUAGAUUAUGGUGCUGGGCGCACAAGCCUCUGCUAGCACUCAUGCACUUGCUGCUGGCCCUUCUCCUUGCUGCAGCACAGCUACCUAUGUAAGAAUAGUGAUGCCGUGCAGGAGAUAAUAGGGCAGAAGGGGAAAAGGUUCCUUCCCCUGCCCCACUGUCUGCAGCCAGACACAACAUGUUCAGUUUUUUUAAAAUGCCAUGGCAGAAGAACAUUUGUGCUGUUAAAAAAUUCAAGUCAAACAACAAUUGUAUUAUGUUAGAUGAUUUAGAAAGAUGAUUUGUCUGAUAACAAUGAGAAAAGUAAAUUAAGUAGUCUGGGCUUUCUAGAACCCAGGCCCUUAUCAAGCAUACCCAUUUCUCCUCUCCUUACCAAAGGCACUUUCCAUAGACUCCACUACUACUUCCUUCAGAGCCCUUGGUGAAGAUUCUGUAGGGAGUAUAUAUUCUUUGGCUUAACGUUUUUAUGCGACAGUGCUGUCAAAUUCCCAGUUUUGAGGAUUUUCUCCCACUCUGUAUAGGCUUCUAAAAGUCAUGGAAUGUGACUCUAGGCAGCCAAGUAGGCUUCCAGCGGCAUCUGGUGGGCCACUGUGUGAAACAGGAUCCUGGACUAGAUGGGCCUCCUUGGGCCUGAUCCAGCAGGGCUGUCUUUAUGUUCUUAAGUAUGUGUGCACAGACAAGGAAAAUGCAUAGGUGUGUGUUGUAUCGGAGCCCACAAUGCAUGCAAAUUACACUCACAAAUCUUUUAAAGAAACCCAAACCCUGCCCCACUGUUUGUGUAGCUUUUUAAGAUGAAACACACCCCAGGGUUUGGCAGAACAAAAAUGAGAUCUGGAGGAAAGGGAAAGGAGAGAGUUUUCUGGCAAGUUGGCUAGACUUUUCAGGAAUAGGGCAGGACUUUAGCUACCACAAGGCAUGCCAAUCCACAAGAUCAAUCUGUUGGCUCAGAGCAGAGACAAAGAGGAAUAGAGAGGGAUCCCUAACUUGCUAUUUCUAUUCCUAAUGUCCCCAGCGAUCAAUAGGAUUGCUAGGAGCGGAGCCAGGCUGGCGGUGGCCCGUGUGCAGCUGACGCCGCGGCCCCCCAGCCCUGCCCCCCGUAUCUGACAUCAGAUGAGCCUUGCUAGCCGUGCCCCCACCUCUGACAUCAGAUGUGGGGGCAUGGUCUCCCUUUCAAACAGUGCUGUGCAGCCCCGUUUGGAAAAGAGAUCAGCCUGCGCUGCUUUGUGCAGCAUGGGCCAGAACGACCCUCCUUGCCUUAAAGGAGCGACUCUCCCUGCCGCACGGCCCCAUUUGGGAGGGAAAUCGAUCAGCCUCACUGCAUUGGCAGUGGGACCAGGAGCGGCUUUCCCUGCCUUUAAUGCAGGGAGAGUCACUCCAGCCGCGCUGCCAACACAGCGCGGGCCAAUUUCGGCUCCAAACAGGGCCGCGCGACCCCAUUUGGGACCGAAAUAACACCCCUGCAUCUGACGUUAGACAUGGGGGCGUGUCUGGGGCCGCACUCAUGGCCCCUGAUUGGGUGCGGCCUGGGUUCUUUGAACCCAUUCGCCCAGUGGUGACUCCGCCCCUGAGGAUUGCUGAUGCAGACAGUCAAUGCCUUCUGGAGCUUGCAUCUUCAACACAAUAUGCCAGUUGGCAUACAUCUCUGCUCUGUUCAUUGCUUGAAUUGUCAUUGGAGAGUUUUUCUUCAUUGAAGCUGUUCUUCAUUGAAGCUCCUCAAUUAAACAGAAAAGGGAGGAGCUAUUACCCAGUAACAAACUUCAAAGCCUGUAAAAAUGAUUAUUUGAAGAGCCUAUCAGAUUCCCCAGCCUCUCCCCUCCCUGAGAUGCUAUAGCAUCUCAGGGAGGCAUGACCAUAGACAGGGUUCUAAUCUAGAUGUUUCCUUCUCCUAGGUGCAGCUCAAAGCCCUAAGCAGUCAGGAAGGAAUUCUUCUGAGUCACCUUCAUGCCUGGCAUUCUCUCAUCAACCCCCACAUUGCUAUCUCCAAUUGCCAGUUCUCCCUUUCCUGGAGUUGCAAUGCUGAGUUUUUUUUAAAACCUGACAACGCUGCUAUUCAAUUGCCGGACACUUGGAAACACAUAAGGGCCAAAACCAUGUCCAAGGCAUAGAAGUGCACAGUGAAUGCUUUGCUUGGACCAUCCCUUUGUCUUCAGGACAUUUGCCCUGAGAUCCAUUACAGUGAUUGAAGUGGAUUGUGAACACAUUGGAAAUGCAUGUUGGUGCAGCUGUCCCCACAGCUAGUGUUCUCCCUUUCCAAUCUAAUCAGGUUGACUUCUGGAUGGGAUGACUGGAGCAUGAGAUGCCACAAGGUCCUAGCUGCCGUGACACAUCACAGACAACUCAUUGUCUGUACUGGCUUCCUAUAAUAUUACUCAAGUAAUUAUAAAAGGAAUAUUACAUGUAGAAAUUCGGAAAUCUUCUUCCACCCUUUACCCACUUUUGCCCAGUUAUCCAAAGUUACAAAGAAAUAUGGGAUAUGUAGAUGUAAUACACCACAGUCUUCAGUACUGGUAAAAACCAAGUCUUGGAUGCGGAUGGUAAGCUUGUGUUAUAUUAAAAUUUAUAAAGGGUUCCCAA